CAUGAGAUUCAUGUUGAUUUUUGUUGUUGUUGUUGUUGUUCAUCCACAUUCUUUGUUGCUAUUUUUGUUUAACACUCCUCCCUGACUGAAUAUUUUUAUGUUGUAUCCAGCCCGAGAUUCAUGUUGAUUUUUGUUUUUGUUGUCUACAUCUUCAUAUGAGACUUGAGCUUUUUUCAUGUAUUUGUUAUGGUUAUACAUGAAACUAUUUCGCAUAUAACAUAUGAAAGAUGCAGGUUAUGGUUAUGAUUUUUCUACAACUUCAUAUGAGACUUGAGCUUUUUUCAUGUAUUUGUUAUGGUUAUGAGUUAUAUAAUACAUGAAACCAUCUCGCAUAUAACGUAUGAAAGGUGUAGGUUAUGGUUAUGGUUUUUGGCUAUGAGUUGUUUUUCUCUUCUUUUUCACAUCUUCAUAAUAAAGAUGCAAUCAAGGUUAUGGGUUGUUGAUUUCAUGGUUUCUUCUUUUUUUCUUCGUCUUCAUCAUCUUCUUCCAUCUUCACAGAUCU
Molecule: long non-coding RNA, 502 nt
Filed under: Trifolium pratense (red clover)
Lineage: Eukaryota; Viridiplantae; Streptophyta; Magnoliopsida; Fabales; Fabaceae
Description: long non-coding RNA (TPRA_LNC006113)
Source: RNAcentral